CAAUGGCUUUAUCUUCUGUCGCUAACACAAGUGCGGAUGCUGAACUCUCCAUCAUUUGCGAAUACAACACCACUUGUCAUGUCUUUGGUAUAAAUAAAUUGAUGAAGCUCUCGGACAUCUACAAUAUUUUCUCGCACAGAUGGAGCUAUAUAACACUCGAAAAUGUCAUCAUGAAGUACCUUACACCUUUCACAAGGAUGCAAGUGAGUUUAAUUGAGAAUAGCAAUGUGGCUAGUAUGUGUCAUAUCCACUAUGUAAUGAAGAAGAGGUCAUCGAUAUGGUUUU
Molecule: long non-coding RNA, 285 nt
Filed under: Elaeis guineensis (African oil palm)
Lineage: Eukaryota; Viridiplantae; Streptophyta; Magnoliopsida; Arecales; Arecaceae
Description: long non-coding RNA (EGUI_LNC006376)
Source: RNAcentral